Long non-coding RNA from Centruroides sculpturatus (bark scorpion), 270 nucleotides. RefSeq lists it as uncharacterized. NCBI's taxonomy places the organism in Eukaryota, Metazoa, Arthropoda, Arachnida, Scorpiones, Buthidae. The transcript is spliced from 3 exons. The record is from RefSeq and is a predicted model, not a curated record.
CUUCAAACGGUCUAAACGAGAACUAGACAGUUGUCAUAUGAUCGGGUAGAAAAUGUUUCAAACUGGGGAUAAUUGGAUAUCAGAUUAUAGCAUUUGUGAAGCAGAAGCAAGAGAUAUUAUUGAGAAGAUUGUUUUGUGCAACCAACAAAAAAGAAAUAGUUCAAAACAUGUUCAGUUAACAGGAAAAAUAAGGCAGCUGAUGAAAAAAUUUACUGAUCAUAUUAGUAAUUUAAAUGAAUCUCUUAGACAAGCUUCAAAUUCCAAUUUAAU